Molecule: ribosomal RNA, 279 nt
Filed under: uncultured bacterium
Lineage: Bacteria
Description: partial 16S ribosomal RNA
Rfam family: Bacterial small subunit ribosomal RNA
Source: RNAcentral
UGCCAGCAGCCGCGGUAAUACGGAGGGUGCAAACGUUAAUCGGAAUUACUGGGCGUAAAGCGCGCGUAGGUGGUUCAUCAAGUGGGAUGUGAAAGCCCAGGGCUUAACCUUGGAAUUGCAUUCCAAACUGACGAACUAGAGUACGAUAGAGGGGGGUAGAAUUCAGAGUGUAGCGGUGAAAUGCGUAGAUAUUCUGAGGAAUACCAGUGGCGAAGGCGGCCCCCUGGAUUGAUACUGACACUGAGGCGCGAAAGCGUGGGGAGCAAACAGGAUUAGAUA